CCUCUUGAUGAAGAAGAUAUGGUCCAGUACAUCAUCGCUGGGCUAGAUGAAGACUUCAGUCCUAUUGUCUCUGCCCUCUGCACCAAGUCUGAUCCAAUCACGGUUGGGGAGUUGUACUCUCAGCUUCUCAAUUUCUAAA
This 139-nucleotide small nucleolar RNA is filed under the name Oryza punctata. Its description in RNAcentral is "Small nucleolar RNA Z247". It matches the Rfam family "Small nucleolar RNA Z247". Rfam says of the family: Z247 is a member of the C/D class of snoRNA which contain the C (UGAUGA) and D (CUGA) box motifs. Most of the members of the box C/D family function in directing site-specific 2'-O-methylation of substrate RNAs. The record is from Rfam by way of RNAcentral. Lineage: Eukaryota; Viridiplantae; Streptophyta; Magnoliopsida; Poales; Poaceae.